This 253-nucleotide ribosomal RNA is filed under the name uncultured bacterium. Its description in RNAcentral is "partial 16S ribosomal RNA". It matches the Rfam family "Bacterial small subunit ribosomal RNA", at positions 524 to 776 of the family's 1533-position model. The record is from RNAcentral.
UACGUAGGAUGCAAGCGUUGUCCGGAAUUAUUGGGCGUAAAGAGUUCGUAGGCGGUUUAUUAAGUCAGAGGUUAAAGACCAAGGCUCAACCUUGGGAGUGCCUUUGAUACUGGUAGGCUUGAGGAUGGCAGAGGAAAGUGGAAUUCCAAGUGUAGCGGUGAAAUGCGUAGAUAUUUGGAGGAACACCGGUGGCGAAAGCGACUUUCUGGGCCAUAACUGGCGCUGAGGAACGAAAGCGUGGGGAGCAAACAGG